RNAcentral lists this ribosomal RNA (137 nucleotides) under uncultured eukaryote. RNAcentral describes it as "partial 18S ribosomal RNA". It matches the Rfam family "Eukaryotic small subunit ribosomal RNA", at positions 1299 to 1458 of the family's 1831-position model. The record is from RNAcentral.
UGGUGGGGUGACUUGUCUGCUUAAUUGCGACAACGAACGAGACCUUAACCUGCUAAAUAGCCCGCAUUGCUCCGGCAGUGCGCUGGCUUCUUAGAGGGACUUUCGGCUCAAGCCGAAGGAAGUUUGAGGCAAUAACA